RNAcentral lists this ribosomal RNA (611 nucleotides) under Brevundimonas sp. SSRS6-4. RNAcentral describes it as "bacterial SSU rRNA". It matches the Rfam family "Bacterial small subunit ribosomal RNA", at positions 198 to 829 of the family's 1533-position model. Lineage: Bacteria; Pseudomonadati; Pseudomonadota; Alphaproteobacteria; Caulobacterales; Caulobacteraceae. The record is from RNAcentral.
GGGGGAAAGAUUUAUCGCCUUUAGAGCGGCCCGCGUCUGAUUAGCUAGUUGGUGAGGUAAAGGCUCACCAAGGCGACGAUCAGUAGCUGGUCUGAGAGGAUGAUCAGCCACAUUGGGACUGAGACACGGCCCAAACUCCUACGGGAGGCAGCAGUGGGGAAUCUUGCGCAAUGGGCGAAAGCCUGACGCAGCCAUGCCGCGUGAAUGAUGAAGGUCUUAGGAUUGUAAAAUUCUUUCACCGGGGACGAUAAUGACGGUACCCGGAGAAGAAGCCCCGGCUAACUUCGUGCCAGCAGCCGCGGUAAUACGAAGGGGGCUAGCGUUGCUCGGAAUUACUGGGCGUAAAGGGAGCGUAGGCGGACAUUUAAGUCAGGGGUGAAAUCCCGGGGCUCAACCUCGGAAUUGCCUUUGAUACUGGGUGUCUUGAGUAUGAGAGAGGUAUGUGGAACUCCGAGUGUAGAGGUGAAAUUCGUAGAUAUUCGGAAGAACACCAGUGGCGAAGGCGACAUACUGGCUCAUUACUGACGCUGAGGCUCGAAAGCGUGGGGAGCAAACAGGAUUAGAUACCCUGGUAGUCCACGCCGUAAACGAUGAUUGCUAGUUGUCGGGAU